CUACGGGUCGCAGCAGUGGGGAAUAUUGCACAAUGGGCGCAAGCCUGAUGCAGCCAUGCCGCGUGUAUGAAGAAGGCCUUCGGGUUGUAAAGUACUUUCAGCGGGGAGGAAGGGAGUAAAGUUAAUACCUUUGCUCAUUGACGUUACCCACAGAAGAAGCACCGGCUAACUCUGUGCCAGCAGCCGCGGUAAUACAGAGGGUGCAAGCGUUAAUCGGAAUUACUGGGCGUAAAGCGUGUGUAGGCGGACUUCUAAGUUGGAUGUGAAAGCCCUGGGCUUAACCUAGGAAUUGCAUUCAAUACUGGAAGUCUGGAGUAUGGUAGAGGAAAGUGGAAUUUCCGGUGUAGCGGUAAUAUGCGUAGAUAUCGGAAAGAACAUCAGUGGCGAAGGCGGCUUUCUGGACCAAUACUGACGCUGAGACACGAAAGCGUGGGGAGCAAACAGGAUUAGAUACCCUAGUAGUC
Molecule: ribosomal RNA, 464 nt
Filed under: uncultured bacterium
Lineage: Bacteria
Description: partial 16S ribosomal RNA
Rfam family: Bacterial small subunit ribosomal RNA
Source: RNAcentral